UGUGUGUGUGUGUGUAUAUACACACUAUAUAUUCUGUUCCUCUAGAGAACCCUAAUUCAACAACCGUUUAUGAUGAAACUUGGAACAAAGAGAGGCGCUACUUUUUGCCACCGUGAUAGGAUCCUCUCUACCUUGCAGAAGAGUUCUUGGUGGCUAAAACUCAACAAGAAUCUGCUUGUCCCCAGCCCAGACUUUCUCUGGGAGAAAAGGAAUGGAUAAACGUAUGGAAGAUUGAUUGAGUGACUGUGGGCUCCCACCCAAAGAGAUGAUUCAGUCCAGUGGCAGGGAGAAGAGUGAGACCCAGUGGAACGUGAUUUCGCAAUGGGCCCGUUGCCACGACAGGGAACACACUGUUUACUAAAGAGAGCUCUUCAACCUCUCAGUCAUCUUUGCCUUCCAGAAAACUGCAGCCUCAACUCUAGUAAGUAAUCCACCGGCUCAGCCCAAGCCCUGUUGGAGCGGAUAGGGCUAUCCUUGCCACAGUACUGAACAGCAGGAAUGUUGCUCGCAAAGCCUGCCCUUUGGAAGUAGCCAGCAAGGCUGAAAGUGCUCAACCACUCUUUGGAAUGCCACAUUGUAUAUGGGAAGUUCCAUAAUGCGCUACUAAUAAGUAAAGUUUCUCUUGCUGGGUUGUAAGUAUCUGGGCAAGUCACAGGAAAUUCUUCUUGGAACUAAGCAAUAUGGGAAUAAACACACGUAUUAACAUCUGCUCAUGAUAACUAGCUAAUGAAAUAGCCCACUUUGGCCCAGAGUUCGGGAUAAUGAAACAAAUGACUGGUGGUUAAUAAAUCGCUUCAGUGCCGGUAUAUGUUCACUGUACAUCUUGUGUGUCCCGUGUGUUCAUUUGUUCUUUCAAUUGAUUCUUCUUUCAUUGUCCAAGACACAGUCUUUGUUUUUAAACUUUUUAUUCACAUAUGCACUGGUUGCUGUGGCCUCCUUCUGGACUGAGACACUCAUUUACCUGGCUGCUAGGAGUGCUGGUGGUCAGUAGCUCUCAUCUGAGCCUCUCUCCAAAAAUGACCUCUGCUAAAGAGAGCUGCCUGGUUCAAGGUCAUGCUCCCUUCCCUAUGGUAGCCCACAAUUUUAAAGAAAGGACUGACUACAUUGCAAAUACUUGAAGACACCUCUUAAAAAAUUGAUAUGUAAUCAAUGUGGACAUGUAAAGACCCAGCCCUUAAAGCCCAAUUUAAGAUAACCUGGAAGGGCCACUUGCUGGCUACUUCCACAGGGCAGGGUUUGUAGCGGAAAAGCCAUCACAGCUCCAGAGUUUCCAGUGGGCUUGACUGAGGCCUUUGACUGUCUCUCAGUUCAUCUGCUUGCUGUGCUCAUUGCUGCCUUUCUUCUUUCACAGAUACUGUUCCUAAGAGCAUCUGCCCCAGUCAACUUCUCAUCCACAGAUAUUAAUCUCAGUCAACCUCCAGAUUUUUAGACAUAUUUUGAAAGUCUUUCAUCACCAGAUUUCAAAGGUGUUGAUAGAUAUCUAUUUUUAAACAUGGAAAGAUGGUGGUGCAAUGGCCAGUGAGUACAAAAAGUUAAAAAAUUGUAAAAAGUAUGAGCCCAUCCUUAGAAAACAUUCAUAGAGAUUUUUACAUAGAGAGGAAAUUGUUUUAUACAAAAGUGAUUAUUAACAGUAGCUGCU
This is a long non-coding RNA of Homo sapiens (human), 1639 nucleotides long. RefSeq lists it as uncharacterized. The record is from RefSeq and is a predicted model, not a curated record. NCBI's taxonomy places the organism in Eukaryota, Metazoa, Chordata, Mammalia, Primates, Hominidae. The transcript has 3 exons.